Molecule: non-coding RNA, 71 nt
Organism: Planctomycetes bacterium RBG_13_63_9
Lineage: Bacteria; Pseudomonadati; Planctomycetota
Source: Rfam
GCGGGUGUAGCUCAACGGUAGAGCCAUAGCCUUCCAAGCUAUUGACGAGGGUUCGACUCCCUUCACCCGCU